Long non-coding RNA from Columba livia (rock pigeon), 847 nucleotides. RefSeq lists it as uncharacterized. NCBI's taxonomy places the organism in Eukaryota, Metazoa, Chordata, Aves, Columbiformes, Columbidae. The transcript has 3 exons. The record is from RefSeq and is a predicted model, not a curated record.
AGCCUGCAGUGUCAGAGCUGCACCAGCUCCAGCACUAAGCCUGGGCUUGGUGCCUCCACUAUACAACUGUACAAAUAUCAGCUCUGUAGCUCAUAUUAACAUGGAAACACUUCCCUAAUGACCCACUCAGGGAAGGGCUUUUUGUGUUCACAAAGAGUAUCUUAAUUGCGUUGCAGUUUUGCUGACAUUUGGUGUUGUUCGAAGCACUUUAAUAAGAUUUUCAGAAGUAUCAAACGACUUAAAAUUACAAGUAUCACUAAGCACUCUGCUACCUCCCAGUCAGUUCCUGGCACACCCACACAGCAGUUGCUGCUCACUACAGCCAACUCCCACGCUGAGUUUGGGACUUGGGGUCUCUCACACAGAUCUUAAGACCCAAGCGAGGCAGGUGCAUGAAAAGCUACUUAGAGCUAAUUAACAGUAAAUGCUAAAAGCAGUGGUGUUUUGGGCCUCCCCCUUCCUCAAGGUUGGGCUCCUGAGCCAGCUGGUGGGCUGGCAGCUCUCCUCGUGAGGAGCAGAAGCCCAGUUCUGCUGUUGCAGGAAAGACUGAGUGAGUGUGAAGCCAUCAGCCGUGCACCUAAACUUCGUGAACUCGAUCAUCUGGAUGCCCAGUUUAAAGCUCUUAAGAGCCUGUCUUGCUCCCAGUAGUGCUUUCUCCAGUGGGACUGAAGGUGAAGGGCUGAUCUCCCAUUUUCCUAAGCUGAAACAACUAUACAGAUUUCCAGCUGAAAACUACAUACUGCAGAAAGCAUCAUGCUGUAUAGAACAGCUGCUCCCCAGCUCCAUCCUUUCUCUCCAUAGGUCCUCUCUCCUCAAAAUGGCCAUUGCUUGAGGUGAGCAGCGUAUA